GGGUUGGUAGCCAAGCGGCGACGUAUGUCUAAGGCACUCGACUUUUAAUCGAGGGAUCGUUGGGUUCGAAUCCCACCCGACCCA
Molecule: transfer RNA, 84 nt
Filed under: Cronobacter phage vB_CsaM_GAP31
Lineage: Duplodnaviria; Heunggongvirae; Uroviricota; Caudoviricetes
Also listed under: 3 other names
Rfam family: tRNA
About the family: Transfer RNA (tRNA) molecules are approximately 80 nucleotides in length. Their secondary structure includes four short double-helical elements and three loops (D, anti-codon, and T loops).
Source: Rfam by way of RNAcentral